Brassica napus (rape) is the source of this 656-nucleotide long non-coding RNA. RefSeq lists it as uncharacterized. The record is from RefSeq and is a predicted model, not a curated record. The transcript has 3 exons. NCBI's taxonomy places the organism in Eukaryota, Viridiplantae, Streptophyta, Magnoliopsida, Brassicales, Brassicaceae.
UCCAAAUGUGGGCCAUUACGGGUCGUUUUUUUCAAGUGUACGAGUUUACGUAAAUCGCUAUUUGUCUUUUUCCUCCUCUCUAAACAGUUGGGAACGAUUAUUCUCCGGCGCCUCUCCUUGUCCUACUCUCGCUUCGUCGUCUGUGAAUCGAUUCAGGUUGAGAAGUCAUGUCACGAGCCACGUACAUAGUGGGUGCCCUUGCGGGAUCUGCUGUUGUAGCCUACAUCUGUGACAAAGUCAUUUCUGAUGAUAAGAUCUUCGGAGGGAGUACACCGGGAACUAUAACUAACAAGGCAUGGGGGGUUGCGACUGAAGAGAGGCUCCAAGCAUGGCCUAGAACCGCUGGUCCUCCCGUUGUAAUGAACCCUAUCAGUCGCCAGAACUUCAUCGUCAAGUCACGCCCUGAAUAACUGUCAUUCGUUAUGGAUUUGAUUCAUUUCGAUAUUUACUCUCUAUAUUGCCAUUUUCUUUUGAUUUGAGGAUCGGCUAAUUUCUCUAGCUGGUUUGUAGUAAUAAUUUGUGGGGAUGAUUGGUUGGAUACACAUUGUUCAGUCCAAAGCUUUCUCGAGAUGCAUUGCUUUUUGUAAUGUUUGUUGAUUUUGACGAUAAUAUUGAAACCAAGCCAACAAGACUUGGCAGCUAUAUUUCUUUUGGUA